Molecule: long non-coding RNA, 689 nt
Filed under: Callithrix jacchus (white-tufted-ear marmoset)
Lineage: Eukaryota; Metazoa; Chordata; Mammalia; Primates; Cebidae
Description: lncRNA (ENSCJAG00000055953.2)
Source: RNAcentral
AAUACAAAUUAUUUAAAAAGGAUAUUAAGAGUGUAUUAUCUGUAUUAACCUAUAUUUUAAUCAGUUUAGUUAACUUUGUUUUUUUUGAUGGAGUCUCUCUCUGUUGCCCAGACUGGAGUGCAAGGGCACAAUCUCUGCUCACUACAACCUCCACCUCCUGGGUUGAAGUGAUUCUCCUGCCUCAGCCACCCAAAUAGCUGGGAUUACAAAUGUGUGCUGCCAUACCUGGCUAAUGUUGUAUUUUUAGGAUAAAGGGGGUUUUACCAUCUUGGCCAAGCUGGUCUUGAAUUCCUGACCUCAGGUGAUCUACCCUCCUCAGCCUCCCCAAGGCAUGAGCCAUGGCACCCAGCCAGGAACAAUCCAAACCCAUUUGCUUCUGCAAAUUUUUAAGCAGCCUUUGACAUGCUAUGAAUGACUCUAACAGCAACCAGAAUGACUGACUACUGCUAUAACGUUCUAUUGUAUCAGUUGUAUUGUGAAUUUGUGGAUGUUCAGCAGUUCAACUGUGUAAUUGUGGAUGAAUUCUGAUGAAAUUUGGAGAGUGAGCUUGGGAGGACGUGGUAUAACAGUAUGACAUACAGAAAUAUGAGAAUUUUUCAUGGUGGCUUUAGUGAAGAAACAUGCCAAAUGCAUUUAAGGUGUCAUGAACUGGAAAAGGAACAGUGGUUUCUAAUGAGUAUAUGAGUCAC